ACACCCCGCGGCCGGCCCUAGAAAGGGCGUAGCUGAGAAAGCUGAGAACGUACUAGACACUAGCUCAACAGGUUUUCGAGCAGUACGCAGCACACAACUCCGCAAGAGAGGGUCGCUGAAAUCCACGUUUAAACAGAACUAACGAUGAAAGAACCCGGGCAACUUCCUGGCUCAGAAGUAGGUGACUACGGGGACCUUACAAAAGUUGACGCUACCGGUGCAUCAGAACAGACAGCCAAGCAGGACAAGUUGACAAUCAAAGGACCAGCUGCAUCACAGAAGAUGGCAAAGACAGACAAGAAGAAUGUUGAUAAGUACAAGGAUAUCAUCAAGAAAGUGGCAAAAGAAAAGAACAUUGACCCAGCCAUCAUAGCAGCUAUAAUCAGCCGGGAGACCCGCGGAGGCACUCUACUGGAUAACAAUGGGUGGGGAGAUAACGGGAAUGGGUUUGGACUUAUGCAGGUUGACAAAAAAUUCCCACACACCGCAAGGAGGCUCUACAAGUAUUGAACAUAUCCGCCAGGGCACAGACAUCCUCGUCGAAAACAUUAAGACCAUAGAAAACAAAUUCCCCAAAUGGACAAAAGAAUAGCAGCUGAAAGGAGGUAUUUCAGCGUACAAUGCAGGACCUGGCAAUGUGCAAACCUAUGAGAACAUGGACGUGGGCACAACAGGAAACGACUAUGCUAAUGAUGUAGUGGAAAGAGCGAAAUGGUACAGGCAAAAUGGAUAUUAGAUGCAGCGUCGUCAAGUAAAAUGUAAUCAACUUAAACUUGUUUCUUUUGAAGGGCUCAGAUUUAUAUACACAGAUCUAUGCUUGAAAUAAAA
Branchiostoma belcheri (Belcher's lancelet) is the source of this 828-nucleotide RNA transcript. It is a transcript of the gene named lysozyme g-like, with no coding region annotated. The transcript has 6 exons. The record is from RefSeq and is a predicted model, not a curated record. NCBI's taxonomy places the organism in Eukaryota, Metazoa, Chordata, Leptocardii, Amphioxiformes, Branchiostomatidae.